CGAGGGGUUGGCGCGGGCAAGUGCCUCGCCAACCUGGUCAGAUCCGGAAGGAAGCAGCCACAACGAGCCCCACUUGGGUCGAUGUCCAACCUCUCACCU
Molecule: non-coding RNA, 99 nt
Organism: Planktotalea frisia
Lineage: Bacteria; Pseudomonadati; Pseudomonadota; Alphaproteobacteria; Rhodobacterales; Paracoccaceae
Rfam family: Bacterial small signal recognition particle RNA
About the family: The signal recognition particle (SRP) is a universally conserved ribonucleoprotein involved in the co-translational targeting of proteins to membranes. Archaeal SRP consists of a 7S RNA and homologues of the eukaryotic SRP19 and SRP54 proteins.
Source: Rfam